This 317-nucleotide ribosomal RNA is filed under the name Pycnococcus provasolii. Its description in RNAcentral is "partial Bacterial large subunit ribosomal RNA". It matches the Rfam family "Bacterial large subunit ribosomal RNA", at positions 716 to 1031 of the family's 2925-position model. The record is from RNAcentral. Lineage: Eukaryota; Viridiplantae; Chlorophyta; Pseudoscourfieldiophyceae; Pseudoscourfieldiales; Pycnococcaceae.
CGAAACCGAGUGAUCUAGCCAUGAGCAGGUUGAAGGUGCAGUAACAUGCACUGGAGGUCCGAACCGAUUAACGUUGAAAAGUUACCGGAUGAGUUGUGUUUAGGGGUGAAAGGCCAAUCAAGCCGGGAAAUAGCUGGUUCUCCGCGAAAUCUAUUGAGGUAGAUCGUCGCUCGAUUACCGCCGGAGGUAGAGCACCGGAAGGGCUAGGGGGACCCAAAGUCCUACCAAACCCUACCGAACUCCGAAUGCCGGCGAGUACAGGGCGGCAGACAGACAGUGGGUGCUAAGGUCCAUUGUCGAGAGGGAAACAGCCCAGA